UACAGAGGGUGCAAGCGUUAAUCGGAAUUACUGGGCGUAAAGCGUGCGUAGACGGUUGCGUAAGUCAGAUGUGAAAGCCCCGGGCUCAACCUGGGAAUUGCAUUUGAGACUGCGUAGCUAGGGUGCGGCAGAGGGGGAUGGAAUUCCGCGUGUAGCAGUGAAAUGCGUAGAUAUGCGGAGGAACACCGAUGGCGAAGGCAAUCCCCUGGGCCUGCACUGACGCUCAUGCACGAAAGCGUGGGGAGCAAACAGG
This 253-nucleotide ribosomal RNA is filed under the name uncultured bacterium. RNAcentral's name for it is "partial 16S ribosomal RNA". It matches the Rfam family "Bacterial small subunit ribosomal RNA", at positions 524 to 776 of the family's 1533-position model. The record is from RNAcentral.